Long non-coding RNA from Gigantopelta aegis, 943 nucleotides. RefSeq lists it as uncharacterized. The transcript is spliced from 4 exons. The record is from RefSeq and is a predicted model, not a curated record. NCBI's taxonomy places the organism in Eukaryota, Metazoa, Mollusca, Gastropoda, Neomphalida, Peltospiridae.
ACCAGGGGUUGGAGGACCUGUACCCUCUCCCACUUGAGGCCGAAAAUGAAAGAAGUUGUUUGUCCUAAUAUAUACAUACUAUCGUUUCAUAAUAUCGGUCCUUAUAAGAAACUGUUAUAGCUUCAUCAAUUUUUAAGAUAUUAAAACUAUUUAUGCACCAUCACCGAAUAGAUAGAUAAAAUAUGGGAAAUCAAACGAAGUAAUGACAUCUUCAAUGACGUCACUUCGUGUCAGCUUGUUUUCAAAAUGGUACCGUCCAAAGAACAAUCUUGUGAAGUUGUUAAAUUGUAUUACCAAAGUAAAUCACUAAAAAACAGUGAUUAAAACGAUGGAAAGGAAUCAUCCAGACCUAGGGCAGUUGAACACUAAACAGAUCCAGAGAAUUGUAAAGAGCUUUGAAGGCUUGGGAUCAGUAGAAGACAGGCGGCACGGAAAUCCUGGAUGCCUAAGAUCUAAGAAAUACUGAAACCGUUGAACAAGUGAAAGCUGUGAGGAAAUUCAUUCCAGCAUUGAAAAGGAAAGUGUGUCAGGUGAUGUUGAGCACCGCCUGUCACUGCGGCAGCAGCUGCUGUUGUCACUCCCACCACAGCAGCAGCGUCAGUCUCAAGCACGGCGGCCACCACAGCACUCUCGGCUGAUUCCGGUUGGGUUUUGGCGUCAAGUAAACGCAAAGAACAGUGAGUCAGCUGAAUGCUGCCCAGCAUGGCGAAGAACGCAGUAGUUCGGGUGACAAUGAACAACAAACCAGCGGCCUCGUAAUCAAAAGCAAGGACUACCUGUUAAAUGGAGACCAAUUCUUCGGAUUUACCGUCAUAGGAGGGUUAAACCGGAAGUGAAGCUUCCAAGAACGUUUGAGGAAUGUCUGUAUGGCAGAAGUGAUUGUGUUGUUGUUGUUGUUAUUGUUACGUGUAUUGAAUUAUUGAAAUAAAAAGUGUUAAUGGUA